GACGAACGCUGGCGGCGUGCCUAAUACAUGCAAGUAGAACGCUGAAGAGAGGAGCUUACUCUUCUUGGAUGAGUUGCGAACAGGUGAGUAACGCGUAGGUAACCUGCCUUGUAGCGGGGGAUAACUAUUGGAAACGAUAGCUAAUACCGCAUAACAAUGGAUGACACAUGUCAUUUAUUUGAAAGGGGCAAUUGCUCCACUACAAGAUGGACCUGCGUUGUAUUAGCUAGUAGGUGAGGUAAUGGCUCACCUAGGCGACGAUACAUAGCCGACCUGAGAGGGUGAUCGGCCACACUGGGACGGAGACACGGCCCAGACUCCUACGGGAGGCAGCAGUAGGGAAUCUUCGGCAAUGGGGGCAACCCUGACCGAGCAACGCCGCGUGAGUGAAGAAGGUUUUCGGAUCGUAAAGCUCUGUUGUAAGUCAAGAACGGGUGUGAGAGUGGAAAGUUCACACUGUGACGGUAGCUUACCAGAAAGGGACGGCUAACUACGUG
RNAcentral lists this ribosomal RNA (497 nucleotides) under uncultured bacterium. Its description in RNAcentral is "partial 16S ribosomal RNA". It matches the Rfam family "Bacterial small subunit ribosomal RNA", at positions 28 to 507 of the family's 1533-position model. The record is from RNAcentral.